CCUCACUGUUGGUAUCUCUUCCCAUGUGUUUACUUCCCCUUUGACCCUGUCUGCCAUAGUUUGACUUAGCAUGUGGCCCUCAGCAGAAGCUGAGCAGAUGCCAGUGCUAUGCUUCCCAUACUUGCCAGCUGGCAUAACUAUAGCUAAAUAAAUUCUUGUCUUUAUAAUUUACCCAGUUUCAAGUAUUCUGUUAUAGCAACACAAAAUGGACUAACAUACUAGGGAUGUGAUUUUUGAUACUUUGAGAAACUGGGAAAGUGGCCCGAGGUCUAAGAGCUGGAAACAAACAGUAGAACCAGAAUGUGAAUCCAGAUCUAUGAUAAAACUAUGGAGAAGAAGAUGGAGCCAGAAGUGUACAAGCCCCUCCCUUCUCUGAAUCCCAUCCCAUCCAGCAGAAGAGGCAAGUGUAUGUGGUUUUGGAGCAUUAGAUGAAGCAUCUUACAAAUUUCCUGUAAACGUGUGUGAUAAAAUGUGAACAAAGAUGAAACGGCUGCAUUUUGAUUCCUGGCUUCAUGUUGCCCACAAUGGUCCACAAAUGAUUGGAGUUCCCUGGUCACCAUCUUUCUCUCUAAUUGAUAAGUUGAGCUCUGUGCCAAGAGCUCAGUCAGGUAUGCCUCAGUGGAAAAAUGUAAUAUUUCAAUUCUGACUUACCUAAAGGCCAAUAUCACAUGGCCUACAGUCUGUGGAUGUGCCCAGUUGGUAUCAAUUGCAUUGCUUAUGGCAAAUACAAUGCAGAUGAGGUCCUUCAUCAAGAAAUCAGAACCUAAUCCAAUAAAACCUGCUCAUGCAAGCAAAAGCAGUCUUGAGUAUUUCAAGAUGCCCAGGGGCUGAGAGACAACCCCAUCCAAGGAGUGUUCAUGGCGUUUGCACUCUUCUAAAACAUUCACUUCUAAGAAUAUGUACAAAAUAAGGGUGGAGUUGGACGUAGUGAAAAACCUCCGAUAAGUCGCAGCAAACCAAAACUGGCUUUUAAGGAUCUUGAGCUCAGCAGCAACAUACACACUGAGGUCUUAUAAUCCUUUGGAUGGAAUAAGGGAAUUCUCCUUUAUACGAAAAAAAUAUUUUGAGAUAUUCAGGCACAAACAGAGACUGUACAUUUUGGCAGGAAACUCAUCUGGAAUUUUAAAGCCAAAAUUAUAAGUUCGAAAUGAGAGAAAAGAGAACCACAGUCAG
Molecule: long non-coding RNA, 1173 nt
Filed under: Homo sapiens (human)
Lineage: Eukaryota; Metazoa; Chordata; Mammalia; Primates; Hominidae
Description: HSALNT0313140
Source: RNAcentral